GACGAACCGAGCGAACGUUAUUCGGAAUCACUGGGCUUAAAGGGUGCGUAGGCGGGCUGUCAAGUCUGGGGUGAAAUCUCAUCGCUUAACGGUGAGACUGCCUUAGAUACUGCCAGUCUUGAAUUAGGGAGAGGUUCGUGGAAUUCCGAGUGUAGCAGUGAAAUGUGUAGAUAUUCGGAAGAACACCAGUGGCGAAGGCAGCGAACUGGCCCUUAAUUGACGCUCAGGCACGAAAGCAUGGGGAUCAAACAGG
RNAcentral lists this ribosomal RNA (253 nucleotides) under uncultured bacterium. RNAcentral describes it as "partial 16S ribosomal RNA". It matches the Rfam family "Bacterial small subunit ribosomal RNA", at positions 524 to 776 of the family's 1533-position model. The record is from RNAcentral.